This 422-nucleotide ribosomal RNA is filed under the name Verrucomicrobiota bacterium. RNAcentral describes it as "Verrucomicrobia bacterium partial 16S ribosomal RNA". It matches the Rfam family "Bacterial small subunit ribosomal RNA", at positions 355 to 776 of the family's 1533-position model. Lineage: Bacteria; Pseudomonadati; Verrucomicrobiota. The record is from RNAcentral.
UGGGGAAUUUUGCACAAUGGGCGCAAGCCUGAUGCAGCGACGCCGCGUGAGGGAUGAAGGCCUUCGGGUUGUAAACCUUUUUCGCUCAUGGUCAAGCCGCAGCUUUGGGUUGUGGUGAGGGUAGUGGGUAAAGAAGCGCCGGCUAACUACGUGCCAGCAGCCGCGGUAAUACGUAGGGCGCGAGCGUUGUCCGGAAUUAUUGGGCGUAAAGGGCUUGUAGGCGGUUGGCCGCGUCUGCCGUGAAAUCCUCUGGCUUAACUGGGGGCGUGCGGUGGGUACGGGUUGACUGGAGUGCGGUAGGGGAGACUGGAAUUCCUGGUGUAGCGGUGGAAUGCGCAGAUAUCAGGAGGAACACCGGUGGCGAAGGCGGGUCUCUGGGCCGUUACUGACGCUGAGGAGCGAAAGCGUGGGGAGCGAACAGG